RNAcentral lists this ribosomal RNA (274 nucleotides) under uncultured bacterium. RNAcentral describes it as "partial 16S ribosomal RNA". It matches the Rfam family "Bacterial small subunit ribosomal RNA", at positions 523 to 796 of the family's 1533-position model. The record is from RNAcentral.
AUACGGAGGGUGCAAGCGUUACUCGGAAUCACUGGGCGUAAAGCGCGCGCAGGCGGCUAUUGAAGUUGGAUGUGAAAGCCUACGGCUCAACCGUAGAACUGCAUCCAAAACUAUUUAGCUAGAGUGUGGGAGAGGAAGAUGGAAUUAGUUGUGUAGGGGUAAAAUCCGUAGAGAUAACUAGGAAUACCAAAAGCGAAGGCAAUCUUCUGGAACACUACUGACGCUGAGGCGCGAAAGCGUGGGGAGCAAACGGGAUUAGAAACCCCAGUAGUCC